This 427-nucleotide ribosomal RNA is filed under the name uncultured bacterium. RNAcentral's name for it is "partial 16S ribosomal RNA". It matches the Rfam family "Bacterial small subunit ribosomal RNA", at positions 355 to 774 of the family's 1533-position model. The record is from RNAcentral.
UGGGGAAUAUUGCACAAUGGGCGCAAGCCUGAUGCAGCCAUGCCGCGUGUAUGAAGAAGGCCUUCGGGUUGUAAAGUACUUUCAGCGAGGAGGAAGGCGUUGUGGUUAAUAACCGCAACGAUUGACGUUACUCGCAGAAGAAGCACCGGCUAACUCCGUGCCAGCAGCCGCGGUAAUACGGAGGGUACAAGCGUUAAUAGGAAUUACUGGGCGUAAAGCGCACGCAGGCGGUCUGUCAAGUCGGAUGUGAAAUCCCCGGGCUCAACCUGGGAACUGCAUCCGAAACUGGCAGGCUAGAGUCUUGUAGAGGGGGGUAGAAUUCCAGGUGUAGCGGUGAAAUGCGUAGAGAUCUGGAGGAAUACCGGUGGCGAAGGCGGCCCCCUGGACAAAGACUGACGCUCAGGUGCGAAAGCGUGGGGAGCAAACA